GACAGAGGGUGCAAACGUUGUUCGGAAUUACUGGGCGUAAAGCGCGUGUAGGCUGUCUCGAAAGUCGGAUGUGAAAGCCCUGGGCUCAACCUAGGAAGUGCAUUCGAAACUUCGAGACUCGAGUCCUGGAGAGGAUCGCGGAAUUCUCGGUGUAGAGGUGAAAUUCGUAGAUAUCGAGAGGAACACCAGUGGCGAAGGCGGCUCACUGGUCCGGUACUGACGCUGAGGUGCGAAAGCGUGGGGAGCAAACAGG
Molecule: ribosomal RNA, 253 nt
Filed under: uncultured bacterium
Lineage: Bacteria
Description: partial 16S ribosomal RNA
Rfam family: Bacterial small subunit ribosomal RNA
Source: RNAcentral